RNAcentral lists this long non-coding RNA (4244 nucleotides) under Piliocolobus tephrosceles (Ugandan red Colobus). RNAcentral describes it as "lncRNA (ENSPTEG00000000377.1)". The record is from RNAcentral. Lineage: Eukaryota; Metazoa; Chordata; Mammalia; Primates; Cercopithecidae.
GAACAAAUGAACAAAUGAACAAAUGAAUAAAUGAACAAAUGAACAUAUGAAUAAGUAGAUAAACCUUAAACAAACAGGAUCUAACAAAAUGAAAAAAGGACAAUUUUUUCAUGUUGUAGAAAAUGAAUUGCCUACGUUAGAUCAAAGUUCAUUACUUGAUUUUUCUGUUAUUUCAACAGACGAGUUAAAAAGUGAAAUAGAUGAUAAAGAAGAAGAAGAAGAAAAAAAAAAAAACGAAAAAAACAAAAAAGACAGAAACGAUAAUUUUGAAAAUUGUUAUAUUUCGGUCGACAAUGUUAGUGAUAAUAAAAGAAACGCUUUGAAUUUUUUAGGUCUUCGUAAACAAAAAAACAAUGUUUUAAAUGAUAAGCGUGAGUGUAAUAAUAACACAUCAAAUGAUGUAUCAAAAAUAACACAUGUUGAAGCACAAAAGUUCUUGUCACGUGGUGCAUCUUAUACGAUUGCAAGUAAUACCUGUUCACUUUUAUCACCACAUAAAAACAAUAUCAAAGCUAACACUGAAAAUAAUGAUAGUAAUAAAAAUAUGUGUGAGAGCACUAAAAGUGGUAUUAACAACUACUACGUAGAAAAUAAAAGUAUUCAACAAAAAUGUGUUUUAACAAAAGAAAAGAGUAACAGGUUUUAUUGGUUGGAACAAAUUGUUUAUAAUAAUAUAAAUAAUAGCUAUGAUAAAAAUGAAAUAAAAAUUUUUCACAUUUAUCAUGAUAGUAGAGCUGAAUGUUUAUUUAACGACAUAAGUAUAAUAAAAUUCUAUUGGCAUAAAAAUAUAUGUAUAUAUGAAAAUAAAAAUUAUAUAUAUGAUGAAAUUAAUAAAAAUUUGUUUCAAAAAGAAGAAAAAAAGAAAGACAUGUCUUUCGAUUUAAGUAAUGAUGAUAUAUAUGAGUAUUUAUAUAAAGAAAAAAUGAAAAUAAGUAACAGCAAUAAUAGUAAUAAUAGCAACAGUAAUAAUAGCAGCAGUAAUAAUAGCAGCAGUAAUAAUAGCAGCAAUAAUAAUAAACAAGGUAAUAAUUUAAAAAAUGGAAUAAAUAUUGAAAAUGAUAAUUAUGAUCAUGAAAAAAUACAAUAUAUACAAUUUUACAUUCAUAAAUAUCCUUCUUUUUUAAAAGAAAAAAUUAAAGUAUUUAUACAUAUAUAUAAUAUAUUUAGUUUGUAUCCAUAUAUUAAUCAUAAAUUUAUAGAAGAACAAAUUUAUUCAAAAAGCUUAAAAAUUACAAUUAUUUCUGAAAAAAUUUUACACAUAAAAUGGAAUUUUUUAAAUGAGACUGAAUUAAAAAUAAUAUUAAAUGAAAUAAUUAACAAACGAAAAAAAUAUAAUUUAAUUAAUGAUAAUUUUGUAAAAAUUAAUAAUUUUCUUCAUAUCAACUUUUUAACACAAGAAAUAAAAGUAUACGAUAUACAUAGUUCGAAUAAUAAUAGUAAUAAUAACAAUAAUAAUAAUUGUUAUAAUAAGGAGAAGAAAAAUAAGCAGUUAGUUGAUUCUAAUUAUAUUAUGUUAAAUGGUAACGGACUUUGUUUUUCAGCACAUUACCAUAUACUUGUUCCUUAUCAUAGACACAUGAGCGAAAAUUGUAAUGAUUACAAUGACGAUAGUGAUCGAAAUGGCGAUUAUAAUGGUGACCAAUGUAAUGGUUCUCUUUUUAGUGAUGAAAAAAAUAAUGAUGACUUAAUUAGUUGUGAUAUAAGCGACUUCAACAUAAGCGACUUCAACAUAAACGACUACAACAUAAGCAACCACAACAUAAGCAACCACAACAUAAGCAACCACAACAUAAGCAACCACAACAUAAGCAACCACAACAUAAGCAACCACAACAUAAGAAACAGUUACAAUUUAAAUUAUGAGUAUGUCUAUUUGUCACAAUUAUUUAAUAUCUAUGACAAUUUUAAUAUAUGUUUUUUAUAUCCAUUAUUUGUUUCUUAUUUUUUUUAUUACCAUUUGUUUAUUAAAGACAAGUUUGAAAGUUUAAUUGCUACACCAGCACCGUUACCCUUAUCGGUACCAGAAACAACAACAACAACAACAACGGCAGUGCAAGUGUCUUGUGAAGGAAGAAAUAAUAAAUCAAUAAAAUAUACUGGAGACGACUUACUAUCAUACGACAAUACGACUGAACAAUGUUACAUUAGUCAAUUAAAUGAUGUAUACAUAAAGUUAGAAAAUUGUGUCAAAAAACUAUUGCUAAAUAAAGAAAAAAAUGAUAUUAUGAAAAUAGAAAAUGAUAUUAUCGAAUUUUUAAGACCACAAAGUUGUUAUAAAAAAAUAGAGCAUAUCGAUUUUGUUACUGAUACAUCACAUUAUUUAGCUUUAUUUUAUAUUAUAUGUAUAAAUAAAUAUGUCUUAACUGAUAAAAAAGAGUUUAUGCAAAUGGAUAAUAAUGUAUAUACAAAUAAUGGGACACAUAGCUUAAUGUAUAAGGGUACACAAGACGGUAUACAUAAUAACAAUAAUAGCUAUCUAUGUGAUAAUAAAUAUACAUGUGCUUAUUACUCUACAGACAUAAAUUACAAUACGAAUUUGACAUGUGGCAAUGGUUUUAACGAUAAGCAAAAAGUUUAUACAAAUCAGAGUUAUGAUAAAAACAAUUUUGAUCAUAAUUUUAAAAGCGUUUAUAAUAAAACUGGACCAGGACCAAAUAGAAAUGAAAAUGAAGUUAUUUUGAAUGAAGAAAUUAGAUUACUCACAAAUGAUAUUAAAGAAAUGACAAAUUUACGUAAUAUUUUUCCUAAUGAUAUGAAACAGUAUUUUAAUACUUGUAACAAAAUUGAUAAUAUUAUAAAAAUGAGUAUACGAACAGAUGGUGUUUGUUUUUUUUAUGUAAAAAAUAAGGCAAAUGAAUAUUUUUUUUUUUCUUAUUUUAUAAUGUUUAACUCUGCAUAUAACUUAUUACAGUUGAUGCAGGAAAGGAUAAACGGAGUUACAGGGGGUACUACACAAAUUAAAAAACUAACAGAUGAUAUUAUUAGCGCAACUGAAACGACUAAAAUGAUUGAUACUACAACUGUUGAUAAAACAAAAGAAGUUUACGAGUAUGCUAUAUCACAGUCGGAACAUUUAAAUCCAAACGCCAUACAAUUAAUGAGUAAAAAUACAGUGAAUAACAAUAGUUAUAAUUACAUAUUUAACAAACAAAUUGUAGAUAAUUUGAUAAAUGUUACAAAUAAAAAACAAGUGUGUUAUAACCUAUACAAUUUGAAGUACAAUAAUAUUAAUUAUGACUAUGAUAGUAGUAAUUGUACGAAUAAUAAUGAUGCUUCUUCCUUUUUUUUUGAAAAUAUCAAUAGAAUAUUUGAUGUAAGUAAUAUACAAAAUAUUUAUAAUGAUUUAUUUAUAUGUGAAAAUAAAAAAAUGAGCACAUUUAAAGUAAUAAAUAGAAUGAAUAAAAAAAAAAAAAAAAUUUUAACAUACUAUUAUUUCAAUAAAAAUGAAGUAACCCCUCUUUUUUUUUUGCGCUUAUCUAAUAUACAUAUAUAUGACAUUAACAAACAAUUAAAUUCUGUUUAUGAAUACAUAAGUUAUAAUAAUAAUACAUUUACUCCUUUUUUAAAUAAACAUGAACAAUGUAACACGGAUGUACAAUUAGAUUUAUUAGAAAAUAUGUAUAACAUUAAUAAUGAAUUAUAUUUAUUAUAUGAGAAAAAAAUUAACUAUUCUCAUGAUAUUUAUAAAUAUAACUAUUUAUAUGUUCUUGAUUAUCUAUUAAGAAAAUAUAUACUUUAUAAUAAUAUAUAUUUUACUGUAUAUGAAAAAUUAAAAACAAACAAAUAUUAUAAAUUAAGAUAUACUAAUAAACAUAAACACACUUCAGACAUACACUUUACUCUUUGUUUUAAUUAUAUAUAUGAUCAGGUAACAUCAAAUUUUUAUUUAAAAACAAAAUAUUACAUAACUCAUGUUGAACAAGAUCAACAACAAGAGAAACAAAAUUUUGAACAAAAAAACUAUUUAUCAUUUAUUAAAAAAUAUGCAAAUAGUAAAUGUAUAAAAGGUUUUUGCGAAUGAACUUACCAUUUAAUUUACCAAAUAGUUUUUUUGUAAGAGCUUUGCAAAAUCUUAUUGUAAACUGGUGUAGCCAACUGAAGUAACAACUUUCGAAAAGCCAUUAUACCUUAUACAUGGAAGUAUUUGUGAGUAUAUGUACAAUAAUAUAUACACAUACUUUCACAUGUAUGUACAUCCUAUUUUAUGCUUAUGUUUGAUCACAUUUGUCGACACUAUCUGCCUA